This 348-nucleotide unclassified non-coding RNA is filed under the name soil metagenome. RNAcentral's name for it is "partial contains 5.8S ribosomal RNA, internal transcribed spacer 2, and large subunit ribosomal RNA". The stretch from base 1 to 120 matches the Rfam family "5.8S ribosomal RNA", at positions 35 to 154 of the family's 154-position model. The record is from RNAcentral.
GAUGAAGAACGCAGCGAAAUGCGAUAAGUAAUGUGAAUUGCAGAAUUCCGUGAAUCAUCGAAUCUUUGAACGCACAUUGCGCCCGCCAGUAUUCUGGCGGGCAUGCCUGUCUGAGCGUCAUUUCAACCCUCAUGCCCCUAGGGCGUGGUGUUGGGGAUCGGCCAAAGCCCGCGAGGGACGGCCGGCCCCUAAAUCUAGUGGCGGACCCGUCGUUGCCUCCUCUGCGAAGUAGUGAUAUUCCGCAUCGGAGAGCGAUGAGCCCCUGCCGUUAAACCCCCAACUUUCCAAGGUUGACCUCAGAUCAGGUAGGAAUACCCGCUGAACUUAAGCAUAUCAAUAAGCGGAGGA